This 460-nucleotide ribosomal RNA is filed under the name uncultured bacterium. RNAcentral describes it as "partial 16S ribosomal RNA". It matches the Rfam family "Bacterial small subunit ribosomal RNA", at positions 338 to 795 of the family's 1533-position model. The record is from RNAcentral.
CCUACGGGAGGCAGCAGUGAGGAAUAUUGGUCAAUGGACGAGAGUCUGAACCAGCCAAGUAGCGUGAAGGAUGACUGCCCUAUGGGUUGUAAACUUCUUUUAUAUGGGAAUAAAACGUUCAACGUGUGGGAUUUUGUAUGUACCAUAUGAAUAAGGAUUGGCAAACUCCGUGCCAGCAGCCGCGGUAAUACGGAGGAUCCGAGCGUUAUCCGGAUUUAUUGGGUUUAAGGGGAGCGUAGGUGGAUGGUUAAGUCAGUUGUGAAAGUUUGCGGCUCAACCGUUAAAUUGCAGUUGAAACUGGCAGUCUUGAGUACAGUAGAGGUGGGCGGAAUGCGUGGUGUAGCGGUGAAAUGCUUAGAUAUCACGAAGAACUCCGAUUGCGAAGGCAGUUCACUGGACUGCAACUGACACUGAGGCUCGAAAGUGUGGGUAUCAAACAGGAUUAGAUACCCCAGUAGUC